Molecule: long non-coding RNA, 910 nt
Filed under: Homo sapiens (human)
Lineage: Eukaryota; Metazoa; Chordata; Mammalia; Primates; Hominidae
Description: HSALNT0273808
Source: RNAcentral
CCCAGAUCCCCCGCCUCUGAAUGCUGCCUUUAGUAACUGGACUGCUGACAGGCAUGAGAUGCCUGCCAGCAGUGGCACUGAGCUAGCCCUGGGUGCUGCCAGCCACUCAUCAGUGAAAAGCAAAGGCUGUUUUCCUUUUAGGUAGAAGAGAGAAAGGGAAAACACAAAGACCAAGCUGGGAGACCAAACACUGUCAAGGUGGCAUUUUGCCAACAUGCCACAAAAGCAAGCACAGAGAGACGCCAGAGAGUGAGCAGUUGGCUGGAGUGGAGAAAACACCAGGAAAUGGAAGGAAAAUGAAUGCAGUGUACCAAGUGGCCUCCUUCAUUGCCUGCAUUUUGAAUGCAGUCAGGCUGCACAGUGGAAUGGAAAUCCCUGGCCAAGAUAUACCUCUUAAAAGAAAAUAAUCUCUUCCUCUGUGUGUAUGCCUGCGUCUACAUAUGUAUUGUGGGGACCAGAAUAUACCACCCCAAAAUAUAAAUGACUGUUGAACUGAAGGCAAUUAAGAAGAAGUAGGUACAGGAAAGAGCUCUCCUCUCCCUUUAUUUGCCUAAAAGUAGGACACAGGCUUAUAAGGACAAAAGGAAUCCUGCCCUGCCUUCUUCUCCUAUGGGAGAACAAAGGUUAACCACGGAAGACAACCUUGGGCACUGAUGACCCUGGAGAUGAUACCAGAGGCAUCUCCACGAGCAAGCUUCCCUAACUCGCCUUUAUUUACCAUUAUGUGUCUUCCUGCAAGCUGCUGCCCUGGAGAACCCAAGUCCUUUUCUUUGUCUUGUUACUUCCUUAAAAAUGUACUGUUCUUUGUUAAAAAUGCUAUACAAGCCAGAAUUCAAAGCCAUCCCUUUGAGGACUACUCAUUCCCUUGGCGUCUUUCAUGUACCUAUGAAAUAUACACAUUAAUAAACUU